CCUACGGGAGGCAGCAGUAGGGAAUCUUCCACAAUGGGCGAAAGCCUGAUGGAGCAACGCCGCGUGGGUGAAGAAGGUCUUCGGAUCGUAAAACCCUGUUGUUAGAGAAGAAAGUGCGUGAGAGUAACUGUUCACGUUUCGACGGUAUCUAACCAGAAAGCCACGGCUAACUACGUGCCAGCAGCCGCGGUAAUACGUAGGUGGCAAGCGUUAUCCGGAAUUAUUGGGCGUAAAGGGAACGAAGGCGGUCUUUUAAGUCUGGUGUGAAAGCCUUCGGCUUAACCGGGGAAGUGCAUUGGAAACUGGGAGACUGGAGUGCAGAAGAGGAGAGUGGAACUCCAUGUGUAGGAGUGAAAUGCGUAGAUAUAUGGAGGAACACCAGUGGCGAAAGCGACUCUCUGGUCUGUAACUGACGCUGAGGUUCGAAAGCGUGGGUAGCAAACAGGAUUAGAUACCCCGGUAGUC
RNAcentral lists this ribosomal RNA (465 nucleotides) under uncultured bacterium. Its description in RNAcentral is "partial 16S ribosomal RNA". It matches the Rfam family "Bacterial small subunit ribosomal RNA", at positions 338 to 795 of the family's 1533-position model. The record is from RNAcentral.